CUAUAAAUAAGAGUGAGUAGAGAAGAAGGAAAUUGCAAAGUGGCAAAAGAAUUCAAUCGUCUCUCAAAAUGAAGUCCCUCGUCGCAAUUAUAUCCAUUCUCUUUGCAAUCUUUCUCUUCUCUUCCUCUUUAACCACAGCUCGAGAAUUAACACAGACAGCUGCAGAUGUGAAUGCCUUAGGUGAUGGUACUAUUGGCCAGAUCGAUGGUACUAUUGGCCAGAUCGACAAGCCUCAACCAAAGAAAGGGUAUCCAUACAAACCUUAUCCAAAGAAAGGGUAUCCAUACAAACCUUAUCCACGGAAGAAAAAGCCACCACCCAAGAAGAAGAAGCCACCGACGUAACCGAUGUAGAAGCCUUGUUAUCAAUACAAGUCCCAUGCUUACGAAACAAGUAGUUCUUGAAAAUGGAUUUCUGUACGUGUGGACAAUAAAUGUUCUCGAUGUCACUGUCUUGAAAACUUUAAUUUCUGGCUUAAUUGCACUUUCUUAGUACUUAUGUGUUGUUUGUACUUUGAUUAUAAAAAAAAAAAUAGUAUUAAUGCAAUAAAAUUAGCCUAUCCAUAUAUAUUUAAGUAUAUGGAUUAUUAAUUUGA
RNA transcript from Jatropha curcas, 595 nucleotides. RefSeq lists it as uncharacterized. Lineage: Eukaryota; Viridiplantae; Streptophyta; Magnoliopsida; Malpighiales; Euphorbiaceae. The record is from RefSeq and is a predicted model, not a curated record.